This 774-nucleotide ribosomal RNA is filed under the name uncultured Neocallimastigales. Its description in RNAcentral is "partial large subunit ribosomal RNA". It matches the Rfam family "Eukaryotic large subunit ribosomal RNA", at positions 24 to 614 of the family's 3401-position model. Lineage: Eukaryota; Fungi; Neocallimastigomycota; Neocallimastigomycetes; Neocallimastigales. The record is from RNAcentral.
UAUGUGAUCGUCUCUCGCAUAUCAAUAAGCGGAGGAAAAGAAACUAACAAGGAUUCCCCUAGUAACGGCGAGUGAAGCGGGAAGAGCUCAAAUUUGAAAUCUUAAAGGGUUUCCCUUUACGAAUUGUAGUUUAAAGAAGUGUUUUCUGUUGAGGUUUUGGUAAAAGUUCUUUGGAAUAGGACAUCAUAGAGGGUGAGAAUCCCGUAUUUGACCUUUACUUUCAACUUUGUGAUACACUUUCAAAGAGUCGGAUUGUUUGGGAAUGCAGUCCAAAAUGGGUGGUAAAUUUCAUCUAAAGCUAAAUAUUGGCGAGAGACCGAUAGCGAACAAGUACCGUGAGGGAAAGAUGAAAAGAACUUUGAAAAGAGAGUUAAACAGUACGUGAAAUUGUCAAAAGGGAAGCGUUUGACACCAGUGUUGUUUUUCUGAAAAUCAAUUAAAGAACUGUUUAUGCUAAGCUGUUUAGACUUUAUCAGCUAUCUGUUUAGUUUUGAGCUUUUCUUUAAUGCACUUUUCAGUUAACAAGUCAACAUCAAUUUCUUUUGCUGUAAAAAAGCUUGAGGAAGGUGGCUUGAGAUUCGUCUUAAGUGUUUAUAGCCUCUUGCCUAUGCAGUCGGAGAGAUUGAGGUCUGCAGCGUAGAUCCUUCGGGGCUAAAUGCAUUUGUGCUAAGUUAUAGCAUUUUAUAGACAACUUGUUGACUAUGAUUUGUCUUGUAGCUUACUCGCUUAUGUUAUUUUACCUACGCUUAGGAUGUUGAGUCAUCACACAUCUCU